Molecule: long non-coding RNA, 645 nt
Organism: Numida meleagris (helmeted guineafowl)
Lineage: Eukaryota; Metazoa; Chordata; Aves; Galliformes; Numididae
Exons: 2
Source: RefSeq, a predicted model, not a curated record
CUCCAUGGCUGAAGACACCAGACACCAGUUUCCACCUACCCAGGAAUAGUGCCUACCAGGAAAGCUGCCAUCUUACCUCUUUCUUCCACUUCAGAUGCCUGGGGAGUGGACAGAAGCAGCAGUGAUAAACAGUUUCACUUUGGAUUCCUCUAUUUCCCUCUGGACCAUUGGACACGCCAAGCCUAUGAACACUUCCCAGCAGCAGAUAUCAAAACAGCUACGUCUUAUUGCAGGAAGCAACCUGAACUCAGCUGGGAUCCUCGGCUACACCCAGAAGGUGGCAAACUCAAGUCCUGACUGGAUUGCAGGAUUUAACUCACUGUUAAAAUGGAGCAGCCACUCACUUCAAAUGCUUCGAGGACAAGCUCAAUUCAGCUGUCAUUGGAACCAUUUACACUGUUGCACAUUGUGAAUUAAUAUGAAUUCCGGACGUUGAUCUGGUCCCAAACUUGUUCUGUUUUUAUCCUUAAAUGCUAUCUGCACACACUGCCAAAAUUGUUUUGUACACCUCAAUGAAGAUUCUUUCUCCUACUCUACUGAACAGAGAAGUGACCACCACACUCAGAAUAUAUUACUUUAAUUGAUAUUUCUAAUGGCAAUGUAUUAAUCUUUUCCAAACUCUGAAAUACAACAGUUCAGAAUCAG